Molecule: ribosomal RNA, 368 nt
Filed under: uncultured Geobacillus sp.
Lineage: Bacteria; Bacillati; Bacillota; Bacilli; Caryophanales; Anoxybacillaceae
Description: bacterial SSU rRNA
Rfam family: Bacterial small subunit ribosomal RNA
Source: RNAcentral
UUCCCCUUCGGGGGACAGGGUGACAGGUGGUGCAUGGUUUGUCGUCAGCUCGUGUCGUGAGAUGUUGGUUAAGUCCCGCAACGAGCGCAACCCUCGCCUCUAGUUGCCAGCAUUCGGUUGGGCACUCUAGAGGGACUGCCGGCGACAAGUCGGAGGAAGGUGGGAUGACGUCAAAUCAUCAUGCCCCUUAUGACCUGGGCUACACACGUGCUACAAUGGGCGGUACAAAGGGCUGCGAACCCGCGAGGGGGAGCGAAUCCCAAAAAGCCGCUCUCAGUUCGGAUUGCAGGCUGCAACUCGCCUGCAUGAAGCCGGAAUCGCUAGUAAUCGCGGAUCAGCAUGCCGCGGUGAAUACGUUCCCGGGCCUU